Molecule: unclassified non-coding RNA, 330 nt
Filed under: Chytridiomycota sp.
Lineage: Eukaryota; Fungi; Chytridiomycota
Description: partial contains small subunit ribosomal RNA, internal transcribed spacer 1, and 5.8S ribosomal RNA
Rfam family: Eukaryotic small subunit ribosomal RNA (bases 1-47)
Source: RNAcentral
AAAGUCGUAACAAGGUAACCGUAGGUGAACCUGCGGUUGGAUCAUUAAAAAGAUCUAGCCCGGAGUGGGACUGGGUAUCUUCGCCGAUCACCCUAACCCAUACCGGGUUUUCUCACCUCAAAAGUGAGUCAACAUUAUGUGAACUGUUCUGUCUCUGGCGGUGGGGUGGUGUCAAAACCACCUGUCAGCAUCCGGGUUCUCUCGGUGUGCCGUGGACAAGCCGUCAAUGGUGUAUGUUUCAUACAAACUUUUGUUUCAUCAAUCUGUCUGACAUACCUUUGUAUCUAAAAUAUACAAAAACAACUUUUGGCAACGGAUCUCUUGGCUCCC